UGAUUAGUCUCACAUAUAACAUGUGCUCCA
Molecule: non-coding RNA, 30 nt
Filed under: Mus musculus (house mouse)
Lineage: Eukaryota; Metazoa; Chordata; Mammalia; Rodentia; Muridae
Source: RNAcentral